AUGGGCACAGGCACAUAUCUGCUGGACAAGGAGCACCUGCCCAUCUACCCAGAAUUUGAGGACAACACUAUGGUGAUGGAUGAAAAUGAACCAUCUUCUGUGCACGCACAAGCCAAGAAGGAGAAGGCAAAGGCUGAAAAGGCUACAAGGAUGCCAACUACUGAAGAAGCAUCUCAGUAUCUUCUGAAGAGCAAGCAAGAUCAGCUUGGCUACUUUAUUGCAUCAACUCUGAGGAUUGAGAAGGGACUGGCCACCCUGACUCAAAACCAGGAGAGCUUGGAAAGGAUCAUGGAGCAAAAGUUCUAUGAAUUGGAUGUGAAGGUAACUAAGAUCCAGUCUGCUGUGGAGAAACUUCAGGAUGAUAUGCAGGAGAGGAAGGGCAAGAUAACCAUUGAUGCAUUUGUCAGAGUGCCUAGAGCUCAGAGGUCUUCUGCAGUGCCUGUUCCAGACACCGGAGCCACUUCAUCUGCACCAGCUACAGCUUCAGUGCCACCAGCUCCAGCACCUACUCCAUCAGCUCCAUCUACAUCGACUGAAGCCUUCGUUCUUGGAGUUAUCUGGACACCACCACCUGAAGAUCAAGCCUGA
This 588-nucleotide ribosomal RNA is filed under the name Triticum aestivum (bread wheat). Its description in RNAcentral is "partial small subunit ribosomal RNA". Lineage: Eukaryota; Viridiplantae; Streptophyta; Magnoliopsida; Poales; Poaceae. The record is from RNAcentral.